UACGUAGGGUCCGAGCGUUGUCCGGAUUUAUUGGGCGUAAAGAGCUCGUAGGCGGUUCCGUAAGUCAGAUGUGAAAACUCAGGGCUCAACCCGGAGACGCCAUCUGAUACUGCUGUGACUUGAGUCCGGUAGGGGAGCGUGGAAUUCCUGGUGUAGCGGUGAAAUGCGCAGAUAUCAGGAGGAACACCAGCGGCGAAGGCGGCGCUCUGGGCCGGUACUGACACUGAGGAGCGAAAGCGUGGGUAGCAAACAGG
RNAcentral lists this ribosomal RNA (254 nucleotides) under uncultured bacterium. Its description in RNAcentral is "partial 16S ribosomal RNA". It matches the Rfam family "Bacterial small subunit ribosomal RNA", at positions 524 to 776 of the family's 1533-position model. The record is from RNAcentral.